GGUGCCGCUCCCGGACCCGGAGGAUCCGGCCCCGCUCUGGCUCAGCCGCGGCCGUCGGUUUUCCUACCGGGACUCGGAAUUCCGGCGCCUGGGCCGGGUCCAGCUCUCCUUCCUGCGCCUGCUCAGCGCCUCCGCCCGCCAGCGCCUGGCCCUGCCCUGCCCCCCACACCCCCCGCACCCCCAGAAUCAUUCCCGGGAUUCCCAGAAUUCCCAGAAUUCCGGAAUUCCCGGCCUCUCCCUGCGCCUCCUGGGGGCCAACGAGGAGGAGCUGGCGGCCGACGGCGUCCGCGUGCUGCGCGACGGAUGCGGGUCCCGCGGGGGCCGCCCGGAGCUGGAGCUGGAGCUGGGCCGGGCGCGGCCGGAGCUGCUCCCGCUGCUGGAUCUGCGCCUGGAGCCCCCCGGAAUUCCCAGAACCCCCCGGAAUUCCGCCCUCCGCCUCGGGCCCGUCUGCUUCCUGGGAUAGAAUACGCCAAAUUCCCAAAUUUUCCCCUAAAAUUCCCAAAUUUCCCCCCAAAAUUCCCAAUUUUUCCCCCCAAAAUUCCCAAUUUUUACAGCCAAAAUUCCUUUUUUUUCCCAUUUUUUCCCCCAAAUUCCACUUUUUCUCCCAAAAUUCCCAUUGAAUUCCCAUUUUCCCCCCAAUUUCCCAAUUUUUCUCACAAAAUUCCCAAUUUUCCCCCAAAAUUCCCAAUUUUUUCCCAUUUUCCCCCAAAUUCCCAAUUUUUUCCCCAUUUUUCUCCCAAAAAUUCCAUUUUUUUCUCCCAAAAUUCCCAUUUUAUUCCCAUUAUUCCCCCAAAAUUCCCAAUUUUUUCCCAUUUCCCCCCAAAAUUCCAUUUUUUCUCCCCAAAUUCCCAUUUAAUUCCCAUUUUCCCCUCAAAAAAUUCCCAAAUUUCCCCCAAAAUUCCCAUUUUCUCCCCAAAAUUCCCGAUUUUUUCCCAUUUUCCCCUCAAAUUCCAUUUUUUCUCCCAAAAUUCCCAUUUUAUUCCCAAUUUUCCCCAAAAAAUUCCCAUUUUUCUGCCCAAAUUCGCAAUUUUCCCCCCAUUUUUGUCCCCAAAAUUCCAUUUUUUCUCCCAAAAUUCCCAUUGAAUUCCCAUUUUCCCCACCAAAAUUCCCAUUUCCCCCCCAAAAUUCCC
This is a long non-coding RNA of Haemorhous mexicanus (house finch), 1130 nucleotides long. RefSeq lists it as uncharacterized. Lineage: Eukaryota; Metazoa; Chordata; Aves; Passeriformes; Fringillidae. The record is from RefSeq and is a predicted model, not a curated record. The transcript has 3 exons.